AACCCUUCGGGCGAAGAUAAGACGGAUUAGCGGCGGACGGGUGAGUAACACGUGAGUAACCUGCCUUUUACACAGGGAUAGCCUCGGGAAACCGGGAUUAAAACCUGAUGAAAACUAUCAAAAUCACAUGAUUAAGAAAGUUAAAACUCCGGUGGUAAAAGAUGGACUCGCGUCCCAUUAGCUAGUUGGUGAAGGUAACGGCCCACCAAGGCAACGAUGGGUAGCCGGCCUGAGAGGGUGAACGGCCACAUUGGAACUGAGAAACGGUCCAAACUCCUACGGGAGGCAGCAGGU
RNAcentral lists this ribosomal RNA (294 nucleotides) under uncultured Peptoniphilus sp. RNAcentral's name for it is "partial 16S ribosomal RNA". It matches the Rfam family "Bacterial small subunit ribosomal RNA", at positions 71 to 354 of the family's 1533-position model. Lineage: Bacteria; Bacillati; Bacillota; Tissierellia; Tissierellales; Peptoniphilaceae. The record is from RNAcentral.